AGAAUUUUCAAGAGAGAGAAAAUUUUCUCUGACUAAACUGUCUUCUUAAAAGUACUGCAAUGCCAACUUAGAAUAAGAAAAUUGUCUUCUAGUGGAACAACCAGUGAGAAGCGAUGUUUGCCCACUGACAUCAAAUAGUUAGUCUCGAGAGAUGAUUUUUUCUAAGAGCAGCAUAGCCCUCAAAAAAUAUUGGGAUCUCCAAGUCUCCAUCAUAUAUUGCAAUUCCAAUACUGCAAUUCAUCAGUUUACAAGGCAUUAUCUAAUAAGUUCCUGGAUUGCCACAUUUAAACCAAAAAAAAAACAACACAUGGUACUGAACAUACAUUUUAAUAUUUUCCAAAAUAAUUCCAUUGGAAAUACACUUAUAGGC
This 370-nucleotide long non-coding RNA is filed under the name Androctonus crassicauda. The record is from RNAcentral. Lineage: Eukaryota; Metazoa; Arthropoda; Arachnida; Scorpiones; Buthidae.